UUUUUUUUUUUUUUUUUUUUUUUAAUUAGAUGCAUAUAUAAUUCAAUGAAUCACAUAUUUACUUUGAUGCAUAUGCAAAUAAUAGUUUCAAUGCAUGUACAUAUGUAAGAUUCAAUUCAUGGCAAAUAUCAAAUUCACAUAAUUGUAGCAAUUGUGAUUAUGAAGCAUACACAAUUUAUGUAGAAUCUAAAAUACGUUAAACGUAAAGUUGGGUCAUGCAUCAUGGUGAAUGUUCAUGCUAUCAGGGCUUGCAAAAUAUCGAGUUAAAAACCGUUGUUUGGAAAGAACCUGAUUGCGUGAUGAUAUGGAUGAACUGGUUUGAUGCAGAAAAAAUCUCCAACGUCAGAUUCCUAAGCGCAGCGGUAGGAGCGUGCUGAUAACGUGUUGUGGUCUAUUUUAUCUGACAGAGGGACUAGGGCCGGCGGCAGAGAGAGAGAGGAGAGAGAUGUGUGUUUGUAGAAUUGUAGGGGAAUGUGUGUGUUGUUAUCCCUCCUACAUUGUGCCUUUAUUUAUAGUAGUAAAGGAAGAGAAGAUAUUCCUUCUCCUCCAAGUAAUACAAGUUGUAAUAGGAAAGGAUAACUAGAAUCAAAUCUUAUCUAGGAUUUACACAAUCAUACUUAAACUAUGAAUGUUUACAACAUAUAUUUAUAUUUAUGACUAAAUUUUUUUUCAUAUAUUUUUAGUUUUAGUUUGUACCCAUUUUUAAUUUGUAAUUCUUUUUUAACUUGUAGCAAUUUUAUUUUCACUUUUAAUUUGUACCCAUAUUUUUUAAAGUUUAUUUGUAUUUUUACCCAUAUAUAUUGUUUUUAUUUGUACUUUUUAUUUUGCUAAAUGUACCCAUUCAUGUAAAACUUUUUAAUCUUAAAAUGUACUCAUUCUUAAAUAUACCAAUUUGUUAUAUGUAAAAUUUACCCUCUUUUUUUUAUAUAUAAAAUCUAUUCAAUUUUUUUCUAAUCCAUUUUUAAACGUAUAUGGGUACAUUCUUGUUUCUUUGAUUUUAAAAUGUAUCCAUAUCAAGUUUAAUUGAAGAAAUUUACUAAUGUUAUUAAGCCUAAUAUCUUUCUUUUUUUUUUCUUUUCUUUUUUUUUUUUUUGUGAUUUAGAAGAAUGUACCCAUGUUUUGAUACAAUAAAUUUUUUGGUUAAUUUUGAUGAAUGUACCCAUGUUUAUACACACACACAAUAGUAUAUUUAUAUUUUAAUAUUUUUAAUCCCACAAAUUAUGGUUUUUUAAAUUUAAAAUCUAAUUUAUAUAAACAACUAAAAUUUCUAAUUUUUAAUUUAAAAAAAUAUAGUAACGUACAUAGAAAUAAAUUAUCACAUUAAUUUCAGGGACCUCGAUCAAAAAUUAAAAACCAACAAGAUUUUAAUCAAAGAAUAUUCAUAACUAAGGACCGCAUCCAAAGUUUCCCUAAAAAUAAUCUCCCAAAAAUGUGUGACAAAUAGGUAGGGAUUAUUAGAGGGUGUAUAAAAUGAUGGUCCUUAAACACAAACAUAGAGUUCAGUCCCGUCUAGGAUUUCGAAGAGCUAAAAGUGAUUUUUGAUUACUAAAAGGUCACUUCUAACUACAUUUGGCAUAACAAGCACUUGGAUUUUUUUUUUACAAAAAGUUUCAACUCAUUUGAAAUAAAAACACUUCUAGCAUAAGCUUUUUUUUUUUUUUUUUUUUUUUUUUUGCUUGCAUCAAAUGCAUUCAUUAUGACUUUGCAGUUGACUAGAGUCAUAUAUGAACUUUAACUUGUAUAAUCUUUUGGAUAGAAAUUGAGUUUAAAUUUAAAAUAGAAAGUUGCAACAUUUGAUGUGCAUUGAAGGAGGAGAGAUUUUUCUAAGUUACUUGAACAUGAUCAGUUCACCCGUGUCAUAAUAUACUUAAGGAGAAGGCUUUUACUUUUUCAAGUGUCCAUCUAAUUGUAUAAGACACAUGGUGUACCAAGUACACUAAAAAAUCUCUCCUACUAUGACAUCCUGUUUAUACCUAAUUUUGCAUUAUCAACAUGUGUAAUUGACGUCGUUGGAUGAAUUAAUAUUUUUCUAGACUUACUACUCAUCUCAAUUAUCGUAGUAAUUAUUGUAGAGAAAUAUAUGAGUUUGGAUGCAAGGAUAAAACUGAGAGGGCAGUGGAUUGAUACGUCGGAGGCAGCCAACAAAGGUGGUAGUCUGAUUAGACAAGGCAGGAAUUGUGGAAUCGGUUUGGCUGAUUUUUCUUAAGGAGUCCAUAUUUGUAAAGUUUUAGUUGCUGUUGUUAUUUAACACCGAUGAACAAGAUGCCACUUUUGUCCCAAGCUUCUUCGCUUACUACAACCCAAAGAGAAAUUAUCGCCAAUGACUUUGCAGUAAUAUCAAAUUUUCUAAACUUUCUCUAUCACUGCCUAUUCUUUACUACAAUCCAAACCAAACGAUCCAAUCCGGACCUUGGCAACUCCUAAUGGAAUAAUGCUCUGGAGAGAGACUGAGUUAAAUUUAAAAUAAAAAGUUACAAUUCUUCAUGUGCAUUUGAUGAGGAGAGAUUUUUCCAAGUUACCGGUACACAGGCAAUACAGCUGUGUCAUAAUAUAUGUGAAGCGAAUGUUUUUUUUUUUUUAAUACUUGUAUUAUGACACGUGGUCCGGUGACAUCCAAAAUUCUCUCAUAACAUGCCAUUCAAAUUAAAAGCCUUAUGAACAUGCAGAGAGUUCCCGUAUACUCGAAAAUUGGAAGAGUCGAAGUUUAAAUGAACCAGCAAACGCAGAGUGCAAUGCAAUCAAUAUUAAUCUGGCCGUUCCGGGUGCGUGUAUUAAUCUUUUGCUCGACUCUUGAAAUUCCUGAAUUCAUUAGUAAAUCAAAAUAAUACACUAUAUAACAAUCUGUAUGUUGCAGAUUCAACUUAUAUACAUAUAGAGUAAGGAGGGAAAUGAGAAAACUGUGGCAGGUUUGGCUGGAACUGUUGCAAUUUUAGCUCUCGCUGCGUACGGUCUAUAUGGAGUGUUUGGAUUGGGUUCCAGCCCAAGGAAGACGAUGAAGGCUCCCGAAAGAGAGUACCGAAUCUUCAGGGGUGAUUUCGAGGCUGACCCUUCUGCUUACUUCAGGGACCUGCGCAAGUAGCAAGUUGAAAAUUGGAACUGAAAGAGUACCUUAAAUAUGAAUACACAGUUGUUGGAGUUUUGGAGAGGUGGAGAGUUUUGCUUUUGUUUUGUUUAUGUUGUAUUUUCCCCUAUGAUCUAUGUUGAAUGUUAAACCUUGGAGUUGGGGUUGAUUAACAUUCUACGGUGAUACAAGGCCGCCAUACCUGCAAUCAGUGAGUGAGCGAGUGAAUUCCCGAAGCACCAACAUGAGUAAUUUAUUGCCCAAAAAAAGGCAACGAAAAACAUAUCAGAAAUGCUGCUAAUGUUGCCUUUAUUACCUUAACCUCGAAGGCAGAAGUCAUCAGAAGGUAAUACGCAACUGAAACAAGAAAAACCAAACUCAUCGCCUUCUCUUGUUGCCUUUGCCCUUUCCUAAUUGCCCAGACUUCAUAGCGUGUUCUUGCUCUUGUAGGAAAAGUCGUACUUUUCCAUAUUUCUCAGCUUUCUCUUCUUCCAUCAGCGCCUUAUCCCUUGCCUUCAUCUCGUAAAGGAAAGAAUUAUCCUUACGCAGUUCACGAAUAGCCUCUUUAGCUUCUUGCUUCAAAAGUUUCUUCAUCUUUCUUAGCUCGGCUCAUUCCCGGUCUGGAUCAUAGUCUCUGCCCUUAACAAAGCUGCACCAACAAAAUAUCAUUCAGUGGUUAAUCCAGCAAUACGUACAAGCGCUACCCAACAUAAUAACAUUAAGACAAUUGGGGACGGGUGGUAAAGAUAAAUUACUUCUCCUCAAAUUUCGGAUUGAGCAUUUUGAUAGCCACUGGCUUUUGCUUCCGCAACUGAAGUGGUUGCCGCAGAAUGUGAUGUUUAUCUGCUCGUCUUAAUCAGUUCAGCAACAUCUUUCAAUUUGUCUGUUAAUACUUGUGGUAUAUUAUCCUGUUCCGCCACUUCAAGCAACAAUACUGAAAUUGGCAAAAAGAUUUCAGGAAAAGAACUGAAUCCUUCAUAAACAAUGACAAACUCACGUAGAGUUUCAAUCACCGUCACCAGCACACUAGCCCUGAAAAUUAAAAGUUCAACUUUUAAAGACAGAAUACCAUAUGCAAACUUUACAGUAUUGAUAUACAAAAUUAGAAUUACAAAAGCAAUAAUCUGGUGGUGGCAAAAAUCAAGUUGGACCAAUUUUGAGGAUCAUUUAUCGACAGCAAAACUGAAGUCUGCAUAAACCCUAAACAACAUACGUCACGUGGGCACUUCUACAAUGUAUCAUUGAGUACUGUAACAAUUUCCUAACCUGAAAUCGUCAGAUCUGAAAAAAGAGGAGUCUUCCGGUAGGUCCAUUAUUGUGAGAAAAUUCAGAGGAUUGACCUGACCUACGGAUUCAUUUAUACAUAAGAGAGGCCUGAUUGCUUUUAAUUCCAUAAGAUGACAAAACUGCAAGAAAACAAAACGAGGAUUGUUACUUCGUCACAUAACUGUAAACUAAUUUCCUUCCAAGGACAAUGAAACCAUAAGGUGCCGCCUAAUGUAUAAAAAAUUACGUUACAAGGCAGUCAUACAUGAGAAUUUUGACUUGGCAUUGGCUUUCUGUCUUUAGCUGCCAUCAACAAUGUUGUGAGAAACAUGACUGCUUCAGGACAGAACUUCCGAGAUUGUUUGGUUAUCUACAGAAUGCAUUAAUUUUAAAAGAAAGAAAUGGGAAUUGAAACUGUUGGACAGAACAGUAAAUCGACCAAUUCAUAUAACUACAAAAUACAUACAGAGAGAAGCAUGGAGCACAAGAAAGAACCAACUGCAGUAUCACGACCAGACAUGAUAGGACUACGUGCCAGAUAUUCACACAUCAACAGUGUUGCUGGAGUCAUGACCACAUGACGAAAAUCAGAGCAUGGAAAUAUCAGGGACCAAAGCCUCAGAAGAAAUAUUGUCUUUGAAGAAGGCCAAUAACUCUGUUCUGUAAAAACAAAACAAUGACAAGAAGUCAGCACCUCAGCAAGAGGAAGCUUGUAACUAUGCUUCCGAACAAACAAAAAGCUAUAGAUUCCAUUAGGGAUUACCUGGGUUCUUAACGGUCUCACUAAAUUCCGUCCGCGCCCGUAAAAUUCUCUCACGAGCACAAAUUGCAGCGAAGUAUGGAGUCUCCAUACUCAUCUCAAUCAAUGGCUUAACCAGAAAAUUUAACAACUCCAUAUUCAACGGCUUUCUAUUUGCUAAUAUGGCAAAAUACUGCAGGAGUACACCAUAAAAUACCUGGAAAAAUGGCAGAAACACUCAUGAGUACUUAGCAAAUAUAAUGAAAACCGAAGAUGUAUAUCUUCACUGACUUUUUGCUUGGAUCAAGUCAAAUAUUAAACGACAGAACAGAAUUGUUCCACAUUUGACACAUAAUUUCAAUACUCGUUUCCAAAAACAUAGAAGCAACAAACAGUUUCAUACUUGCAUUUUCUUCCUGUUUUCUGCUGCAAGCUUGAUUGCAUUGCUUUUCCGGAUUCGAUUGAUAAUCAAGACAAUGUCAGCAUUAGAGAUUAUCCACCAAUGCACCAAACUCUUCAAAGCUUUUUGGAGCUUCGAUUAGGUACGGGAGGUCUGACUGAGUAGAAGGUCGUUUACCGUCCUGAGAUAUUUUCUUGGCAUCUAAAGAAUCGCCCUCUUUUUUACUGGCUUCAGAAGCAUCAAUUUUUUUCAUUUUUUUCAGCUUUCUUGGUUCCACCUCUUCUUCAUCAGCAUCAUCAUCCUCUUCAUGUGCUUCAGACCCAUCUUCUUUUUCUUCCUCCUCAUCCAAAUCCGUUCCAAGAUUAUCAUCAUCACUUUGUUCCCAGUCCUUCAUAAAUAGAUUCUUUUCACCCAGGUUAAUAUCUUUAUCAGAUCCUUCACUGUCAUCUUCAGGACUUUCUGAAUCCUCAGAAGCAUCGCCUUCUUCACUCUCAGAAUCGCUAGCAUCUUUUCUUUCUAGAAUCUCAUCAACCCAACCCUUUUUAAUCCGCGGCUCUUCAUCAAGAGAGAAGGAAUCGCCAAGAUCAUCUCCAGAUAUGGGUCUUGGCUUAUUAUGGUUAGAUGGUGUCUCAGCAUCUUCAUUGUCAUCGUCACUAUUGAUAUCAGUGGCAAGCAUCCUCUUCUGUCUCUCUUCCUGAAUUGUGAAACAAACUCGAAUGAGCAUUCAAUUCAUACUAAAAAAGUACAAAUGAGAUGCAACAUCCAAUUUCUCAAAGUUCUUUGUUCCACUAAAUAAAGGGCAUGUUUACUUAUCAAAAAUGGACAUCCAAGGUAUGGGUAUCAUUCCCAACAUAUCCUGCGUAUACUAACACACAAGGAAUGAAAAAAAAAUACGUCAACCAUGUAUGAAAUCAUCAAAGCGGGUAACCAGUAUCAUUCCCAUUCAUGACUUCUUCCUAUUAAACAUGCCCAAAAGGAAAUGGAAAGCCUAACAUUCAAAAAGUUGAAUAUAAUGCAUUUUCUUGUUACAUCCUCAAAACAUCAUGCCACUUGCAUCACACCAGAAUCAAAUUAAACAAAUUGUAUUAGAGAUGACACCAGUUACCAUAUAUAUAUUCAUAACAAACAAAGGAUAUAUCUUAGUGGCCAAAAGCAUAUAAACUGCACUUGCCAACAUUCUACUGCUAUUUACUAAUAAGGACUGCUAAUAUUGCAAAUAACUUCAAAAAUUUGCACUAUUCCUUGAUUAUGAGGAAGGAACUACAAUCAUGUAUAUACCAAUUUGGACAUAUAUUGGCACCAGAACAUUGAACUUGUUAGCAACAAUAAAAAUCCCCAACAUAAAGCAAAGACAAGUGCAUUGGCACAUCAAAUUAGCAUGCACGUGACAUGCGUGAAUGAAAAAACACUCAUAAAUUGUAACAAAAUAAGAUACCUCCAAAUGCUCAAGCUGCUCUCUCUCCUCUUGUGCUAUCUCUUCAGGUGUCUUUGUCCUGUCAGAGGGUUGAGCACGGCUUACCAUGACUAAGUUGCCAAAAGUUUUGAAAUAAGAACGGGAUUUUUCCUGUGAAAUUGUAAAUAUCAAGGAAUAAAAAAAACUCUUAUACUAAAGAAAAAAAAUUACAACCGUAACAAGUUAGAAACCAAUAAAGGACCUUCAUGAAAAUACCUGUUCAGAAAGCUCAUCCUUCUUCGAAUGCUCAUUUGGAAUGUUCUUGUCUGGUUCAGUAAUUUGUAACAGUUUAGAGGGCACAAUGGAUGUGAAGGAUUUGUCCAAUUCUUGCCUAAAAUCUUCAAGUUCUUCCUUAUCUUUUGCUCUUUCAGCCUAGAAUGGAUCAAAGGAAAAACGAAGGAAAUCGUAAAUAAAGAAGGAAAAAAGUUUCAAGGAACGCAUGUAAUCACUAUCACCAAACAAGUUAAUGCCAUAAAUGAUUAGAAACCCACCCUAUAAUAUUUGUCUUUUGCCAUAACCUCCUUCAUUACUUCCUUCUUGCUUUUAGGUCUCUGUAGUAUGAAAACAAUGAAACCAAUUACGAUCAUUUAUAAGGGGGGAGAGAGAGCAAGAUAAAAGAAUAGAUUAUAGUGGGAGAAACAAGAAACAGAAUUCCUUUAAAACUACAAUGAAUUUCUAAAUUCGAAGGGGAAUUAACUCUUAAAUAUCAUAUAAAGAGGCAAGCAGCAAAGCAAUCAAGAAAUGUCAAUUAAAAUCCUAAUACAAGUACAAUACCUAAAAUCUAAUAAAAACUUAUUUUACUGAUGUGCAUAUCUUAAACAAUCUUGAAUUUGAAUAUCACAGAGCAAAACUCAGAUAGCAGAAGGGCUCACAUUUUCCUCUCCUUCCAUUAGAUCACCAUCCAUUUGAUCUGUCAUGGCUAACCUUUCUACAGAGAACAAAGUAGGCACCAUUACUGCUAUUAGAAUAGUCCUAACAAUCAAUCACCAAAUCAUAGGGAGAUGCACGUGUUUCCAACAACAACAUAAAAUCACUAAAAAAAAAUUUGGUUAGCAUCAAAGAUCUGCUAUCGUUUUGUGGGUUUUUACUUUCCUUUACUCCAUAUGAGCAAGAGUUCCUUCGGAUACUUGUGAUAAAGCCUAGUCCAGAAAAUGAUAAUAAGUAGAAGCCAGAAUUGUCCAACUCAACCAUCAAGUCAACCACAUGUACUUCUAUCCAAACAUUACAGUUAAAAACCAUGGACAUGUCAAUAACCAAAUUUCAAAUGGUAAAUGGUAACUGAACCCUGAAUGAUGCAUUCAAAAUCUAAGUUGCACAAAUGAAAACUGAAACCCUACUGGAUAAACAAACAACACAGAUAGAAGUAUCUCUACACAUACUCUUAGUUUGAGUGGUUUCUGUGCCAUCGUCGUCAUCAUCAGGCAGCACAUCAUCCUCAAAAUCAUCCCUUUCAGAUAAUGCACCAAGACUUUGAAAUUCAAAGUCGUCUUCUUCUCCAUCUGAUAAGUUAUAUUUGCCUUUCUUGUUCGUCUUUAACUAUUCAUGAAAAUGAAGAGAAAAAAAGAAAGAAAAUGAGAAACAAAACACAUUAAUAAUAAAUUACCCAUGAUUCCAUAAAUUAAACUGAAUAUAGUUCUGAAAUAGAGUUUAUAGUUGCGUGGAAAGCUUGCCAAAAAGAAAGGAAAUUUAGAUAUCAUGUGUUAGAUAUGUACAUUUUAAUGAGAUACGCUUUGUGCGACAAACUACAACUGUUUACUAUUUCCCUAUAUUUUCCUGGUCACCAAACAGAAAACAAAGCUGACCCCAAACAAUGGGUAGAAAUUCAGAAAAUGAGCUUACUUGAUGCUCACGCUGCGCACGCUGAAUGGCCUUAUCGAACUCAUUGAGCUCGUCAUUAUGCUCCCCAAUUCGCUUAUCGACAAAGACCGAAGCUUUAUUGCUCUGCUCGUACUCCCUCAGCAGCGUGUUCUUCCUCUGAGCCACCAAAGCAUAAAUAAAGCAAUAAAAUUACAAAAUUUGAAGUAAAUUCAGAAAGGGAGUGACGCAAUUCAGUACCUUUUCAAUGGCGCGAGAGCGGGAGAGGCCAACUCGGCGCUCUUCGCCUUUGCGCUUUUUGCCGAGAAUGUCGAAUUUCCUCCGGGACCAAAUGGUCUCGAACGGGUUGGGUUUUAGGGGGGCCUGGUGCUUCAUGGCGACAGCGUUCGGGCCUAGCUUAUUCUUUUUCUUCUUCGCCGUCGCCGCCGCCUCAUGGUUGUGAUUGGCGUCAGCUCUGCCGAGUUUUGGUGAUUUGGUCUCGAAGGGGUUGGGUUUUGAAACGGACUUCUGGUGGUGCUUCUCCUUGUGUUUCGCCAUUGGAGAAUGGUGUGAGCAGGGAGGUGAUGCCGGUGGUUUAGGGUUUAAGCAUUCGAGGAAGAAGGCGGGGCUUAGGGUUUUGCGGGUGUUAGGUACUCAAGCCCAAGAGCCCAACCUAAAAUACUAGUCCAUAGGUGGGAGGACCCUUGCACUUAAGUACUACUACACAAUUUCUUAUGUAGCCGAUGUUGGAUCAUAACAUUACACCAUCUUUUGGAAGACCCGACGUCCACGGCGGCACCGGUCGCCAAGUCCCUUAGGAACCCAUACUCCCAAGGAGGCAUCACUCACCAAGUCUCGCAAUGUCGGGAACCUAGGCUCUGAUAUCAAUGUUAGGUACUCAAGCUUAAGAGCUCAACCCAAAAGACUAGUUCAAGUCGUGAGUAAGGGAAUCUGUCCCAAAGAUGCUUUGGUGUGAGGUUAGCUAGGCCUUUGCGAAUAAGGACCCUCUUUGGAUCCUCUUUGUGAGGAUCCCGGAGAUUUUCUAAUCACAUCUGUUCAUCGUACAUCAUACGGUCAGUUUUCAUCAGGUAUUGUUUAUAUUUAAUUUUAAAUAAAAAAUUUACAAUAAUUUCUGAUCGUAUGAUAUACGAUGAAUGAAUUUAAUUUGAGAAUUUCCGGAAUUAUCCGGAGAGAAUUCUCAUUCGGCCUUUUACAUAUAUUGGAGAUAAGACACUCGAUAAAAGGAGUCAAGGGAGGGACCUCAUUGUCUCUCCAAAGAAAUAAUAGACCAUUGACCUGAAUAAUUACAGUCACACUUUUUCCAUUCACAACCACCCUUUUAUUUACAAACAGAUGCAGAAACAAUCAUAAUUUUCAUGCAGUGAGAUUAGAUUAUCAUAUAUAUAUGCGCUUAUCUUGGACUCUUAAUUACUUAAUUAAGCCAAUAGCCAGAAAUCUUUCUGGCGCUUUGUAGUAAUCAAAUACCCUCCAACCUUCCUGCUUUUCCUUCUCACAGCAACUGCCAUGCAACUGGCAUUUUGUAUACAGUACUCCACCACACCGCCGCGACCGCCGCUGAUCCGGUUGCCGGUCCACAUCACCAGCAGACGCCAUGUAGUAUACCUCUUUUUCUGCCCCAGUACAAGCAAUCCCACUUCUUGUUUCUUUGCCUCUUCCAGUAUUUUUGGACCUUUCUCCUUAUUCCCUUCCACCACCACUGCAACCUCAAUUUCUACCUCUGGCCUCUUCAACCGACACAUGUUCCUCAAAGAGUGGACAAGUGCAUAAGCCCUUGGAGAUGGAGCUAUCUCCUUGCUGGUCUCCUCACCUGCAGCUGUAACAAAAUAAGUCAUAAAUCAUAAUUCUUUCAACAUAAGUGUUUCUUACAAAAUAAAUCUCAAAUCGGCCCUAAGUGAUAUAUAUUCAGUUUUUCUAUAACUUCACUCAAGAAAGUUAAAGUAGAGUUACACAAAAGAGAACUGCUAUUGGCUCUUUAAAAUAGUCACGCACUCCUUAUAAUAAAAAUAGAUGUAUAAAUAAACAAACGAAAGACAAGUACAAAAUGACUAUUGUAGAGUAAAAAACAUUAAUUCCCUAUGAAAACCGACAAAAUAAAAUGUACAACCUUGCUUUGAGUUUGCAGAUUUGGUGACAUGAAGCAGCACAAUUUUAUCCUGGCUCUGCACAGUGUGAGAGAGAGCCCAUUGGAUAGCUCCUUUGGCUUCAAGGCUGGAAUCAACCACAAUCAUGAUUUUCCUAGCAAUUACCAACGCAGCUUUUUUAGGCUUUUCAUCACCACCACCACCAGCUGCUUUCACUUUCUCUUCUUCUCCAACAUUCCCAGAAUCCUCAAAUUUUCCAUCACUACUUUUUGUAGCGACAUCUGAAGCAUCUGGCUUGAACUGUAUCGGUGGCGACCGAACCCUAACGGGUGGCCUAAUCCUGUUUAGACAGAAAUUAGGCAAUUUAGUGCCUAUUUUCCCCAUUUCCUGAUAUGAAACUCGAUAGACUUUGAGAUGCCUGUAAUUCUUAUAUAUAAAGUGGAGUACUGAAGCUGAACAAAUUUCUAGAUGUGGUGUGGGGGCCAUGGUGUUAAGUUAUUUCUGCUUUGCAUUUGCUUUAUUCGUUUUCUUUAUUUUUGCCGUCUAAUCAUGUUUGUUUCUUUUAUUUUUGCCCUUUGUGCGGUGCUAUUUCUGGUAACAAGCUUCUCAUGAAGCUGUAGGGCCAUGCAAGGCUAUCUGACAUGUUAGGAUAAUCAAUUUAUUUUUCAAAGCAAAAACAAAAAAUACUUGACAAAAAUAACAAUAUAUUGAUCACAUAUCCAAAUAAACAUCUAUACAUUAACUCAACUAUCGACGGUUUGGUGCCAAAUAACAUAUCAUUAUGAAUUACGUAUUUAUUAAAUAUAUAUAGAUGAUUAAACGAUGCAAUUUUCUGUAGUUAGCCAAAAAUUGUAAAACCUGUUAUUCAUCAUGAUUCAUACAUAUGUGUAUCUAUUGGAAUAGUUUAAAUGGAGUUCCCUAGAGAAUGAACUCUGGGAAUGUAGAGUAUAAAUUAGUAUGAUAAAAUAUGAUAAAGUCAUCAAAAUGAAGAAAGAUGUUAAAUAAAAAAAUAUUUAUUCCUCUUCUCCCAUUUUUUUUUCUUACUAUAUAGCACAUUUCAAUUUUACGAUUUUUUUAACAAAAAAGAAACGUCAAUCCGCAUUUGAGUUUGGAUUGGAAUUUUUAUUUUUGAUUCAAUUCAAUUGAACAGUCAACCAACCUAUUUUUUUUUCUGGUUAUAAGACCAAUAGCUCUAGCGGUUGACUCGCUUCUUUCAAAUUGUUUCUCAUUAUUAAGAAAAGGUAACGGAGAUAAAAUACAAGCUUGUUUUAUAGCAAUAGUAAUUAAUCGUUGUUGUUUUAAGGUCAAUCUAUUCACCCAUCAAGAUAAUAUUUUUCCUUGUUCGCUAAUAAAUCGACUAAUUAAACUCUCUCUCUCUCUCUCUCUCUCUCUCUCUCUCUCUCUCUCUCUCUCUCUCUCUCUCUCUCUCUCUCUCUCUCUCUCUCUCUCUCUCUCUCUCUCUCUACACACACACACAGGGAAAAACCAAAAAAGGUGAAGUUUCCAUAAUAUCCAAAUUGCCUUUUUCCAUUAAGAAUUUUAAAAAAAAAUCACAAAAAAAAAACUUCGGGUGGUCAAAAUAUAUUUAAUAACUAUAAUAAGUAAAAUAAAAAAUAGAUAAAUAAUAUAUAUAUAUAUAUAUAUUAUCAAAUAGAAAAACAAAUGAUAAAAUAAAAAGAGUCAAUUAUCACACAAGUACGUGUAGGCUUGGCAAAUGAGUCGUGUUUGUCGUGUUCGUGUCAUUUUCGUGUCAUACUUGUUGUCUUAACGGAUCGUGUCACGUCAAACCUGAUAUCUUAACGGUUCUUAACAGGUGACUCGCAACCUAAUUCGUUAAAGAGUCAUGAAGUUUUGUGUCGGGUUAAUGGGUCAGGCAAAAAAACUUCAAGCCAAAUGUCUUGGCAAAGGAUAUCUUAAUGGGUCUCUUAACGGAUGACUAGAUAACGACCCAAUUUGUUAUUGGGUUCCUAAUGGAUGACUCAAUAACGACCCGAAUCGUUAGCAUGUGGACCCCAGGGUCGGCCCUGAGAAUUUGGGGGCCCUAGGCGAGCCUUCGAAGUGGGGCCCUAAAAUUAUUUGAUCUUCGGUCCUUUGUAUAUUGAUUUGUAUAAAAAAAAUUUGCUAAUUAGAUAAAAAAGUUCUAUUUUCACAUCAAAUAUCAUUAAAAAUUAAUAUCAAAAGAAGAUAAAUAUACAAACAUUACACGAUUCACGUUUUUAGACACAAAUGUACUAAAUGUUUGCAUUCAAGAGUUUAAAAUUGAGAGUGAAGAAUAAUAAAACCUGAUGAUCACAAGAUAAAUAACAAUAAAACUUGAUUGACGAGUAUAAUAAAUUCAACGCCAAUUGUUUUUCUUGUGUUUUUUUCUUCUAAAAUCAACAUCACACUAACGAAUUGAAUAUUAAAGUAAUCCAUUGAAUAAAAAGUUAUUGAAAAGAAAAAUAUAAAAUUCAAAGUUUUGAUUACCUUAAAGUACAAUCUUUAAGACCAUAUGAUAGUUGGUUUAAACAUUCAAUAGAAAUGGAGAGAAUAGGAAGUUGGUUUAAACAUUCGAUAGAAAUUGAGAGAAUGAGAAGUUGAAAGAAAAAAGAUUGCAAAGAAACUUGAGUUUUAUAACUUUAUAUGCAUUUGGACAUAUGGAUUGGGAGUUUGACAGAUGGAUUAGCAGUAAAUUUGAAAAACAAGAAAAAUUAAGAAAAAACUAGUGACUGAAAGGCAGCUUCGUGUUUCAAACUCAACACCCCAAAGAAAAAUGAAGCCAACAUUUCCACUGCACUAACAAAUGAAUUAUGAUAUUUCUUACUUUUUUUUUUGUAUUUAUAUGUUAAGUGCAGGAUAUAAAAUUUUUUUGGGGGCCCUUCCAAAGUGGGGGCCCUAGGCGAGCGCCUACUUAGGCUACCCUUAGGGCCGGCCCUGGUGGACCCAAAACUUGUUAUUUUCAUGUUAUGUUAACGGAUCGUGUAAGAUAUUGCAAGAUCUACAUAUGCGUGUGGCAAGAGGCUAGCGAGUCAUAUAGUUCUAUACAUGCAUGUGAUUUAUAGUCGGCAGCAAAUAAAUAUGUGCCAACCACAAAGAAAUCCGACUGUAAUUUGUGAAUUUUUUAUGCUAAAGUAUGAAUUGCAGUUGAGCUUUUAUGCUCAAUGAUUUUUAAACCUUUUUUAAUGAGUGAAAAAUUAUUGGAUUUGUGUGUACAUUUUGAUUUCUCUGACAGUGAUAUGAUGAUUUUGGUUGCGUUUGAGCCACGCUAGUUGUUUAUGCAAAUACAGAAUGCGUAACUAAAAGCCCUUCUACAUAUAUAAAGUUAUAAUUUGCUUAUCUGGAUUUUCAAUCUUGCAUUAAUAAUUGCUCUAAGCGGAUGCCAGCACAAUUAGGAAUACAAAAAUGAAAAUUAAACCCCACAAAAGUUAUAUAAAUAAAAUCUCACCUAAUACAGUAGAUUCAUUGAACUGCAAUUCAAGUAAAUCGACUGGUAGGAUGAGAUUAUUAGACGGAAAAUACUUUCAUCCAUUCCAUGCAUGGUGUGCUGCGUGCACCACUUUCUCCAUUAAUUUGUUAUUAGCAUAUCGCAUAAACUUUAUAAUUAGAAUUGUACAAAUUUUUCUUGUGAACGGUUUAUUUUGUUAAAUAUUCUGUAACGAUAUUUAUCUACAAAAAAUCAAUUAAAUCAAUAUUAAUCAGAAGUAUUAGUUAUAGCGAGAUCAUACCCGGUGCAUAAUGAAUGUCGAAUUUAGACAUGAUGAAACAAGUUAAAGGUUGUGCUUGGAAACAAAUUUUGUUUGUUAAAGUGCUAAAUCUUUCGUUAAUUAGGAUGCUAAACUACUUUACACAAGAAAAGGAUGUGCCAACCUCCAUUUAGACUUCCAAUCUUAAAAAAGAGAAACAGUAGAUUUGUGAAAGAAAAAGGGAUUUCUGCAUGUCUUAUCAAAAGAAAGUGGCCAAACAUGAUAUAUAAUGUUGUUGCAGCUAAAGGCAAUUAAGCGAAUAAGGUUGACUUGUUACUUCAUUAAUUGAUUAAAUUUCAGUGAGGAUAACCAAUUACGUAGUAUUAUAAGUUCACUCAUAUCAUACUACAUAACAUUUUGUGAUAACAAUGUCACAAUUACACAAAAGUUACCCGUCAUUAGAGAUUCGGACACUGGAGAAGAUGUCAUCCUACCCUGUGCAUUUGGGCUUUCCUCAGUUGGUGGCAAGUAGCGCAUAUAUUAACAAGCUUCAAAGUAGGGUCGCAAAAGUAGUUGGUGUUCAGCCCCAACUAAAACCAGAAUAAAAGGGAAGGAAACUUGCAAAAGAAGAUUCGGUGUCAGCAAAGAUAGCCCACAAGAAUUAGGCCCCAUGAAAUAUUACCACUUUCGUAUUUUAGUAGGAUUAUUUUCCUUUCAAAUUCUUUUUCUGUAAUUUUCUUCUAUUUGAACGAUUAAGAUUAAAUCACAUUAACAUUUUAAGUUUACUCUUUAUAGAAGAAAAAAAGGAAAAGAAGAAAGUGAGAGAGGAAAGAAACGAAGAGAAGGGCAAAAGAUUUAGAAGAGAGUUUAGUAAAAAAAAGAAAAAAAAAAGAUUUAGAAGAUAGAGAAUUCUCUGUUACUUUUUUUUUGGGUCAAAGUUUUGGAUCUUGACCUUUUAAGUUGUAAUUAAGCAGAAAACCCUACAUUGUUCCAAAAAAAAAAAAAACUACAGAACUAGAGUUAGAAUUAUAAACAAACACGACUUUAGAAAUUCAGUUGACACAAAAUUCAGUGCCUUCAUAUCAUCUCUUAAAACCCUUUUUGCCGCUUCUUUGUCUUGUUUUCUGUUUGGUUAUCUGGAUUUUUUUAUUGCGGAGUGUGAGAGUUGAGGAUGCACUUUCCCCAUUGAAGUAUGCUGCCUCUCUACUGCCUUAUAGUCUUUAAACUCUUCAUCAAUACUAUAUUUCUUUUAAAUAAACUAUGUGAUUUUUUAAGAGCAAUUUAAUCUUUCAAUGGCGUUGCUUUUCUACUUUUAUGCCUCUUAAAUAUUUAAUGUUUGAUUUUGUAAUUUUUGUUGCAAUAAUCAUCACUCAUCAUCUUGACUUUUUUUUUUUUUUUUUUUUUGGUUGUUAUGGUCAAUGCAGGCUGGGGACUGCUUAAGCUGAGCAAAAAAACUGAAGGUGUGAGACAUGGGUUCGGCUUGUUCUUGCUUCCGGUCAAAAGAUCCUAUAGAAGAUAAUAACGGUGACAAUGCAAGUAAUGGUGAUGUUGGCUUCACUCAAAACUUGUACAACAAAGUAUGUUUUUCAGAUUUUGAUUAUCACUUUCCUAAGUUCGUUAAUUCUGUUUGCAACUUUUAGUUUUAUGACAUAAUCAAAAGUUCAAAGGUCAAUAGGUCUUAAGUUCAUCUGACACCUUCAUAUUUUUGUGUUUCUAUGGGUCUUAAGUUCAUCUGACACCUUCAUCUGACGCUCCGAUUAGAAGAUGCGACUAUGGGACAGAGGUUCAGGGCCGAAGGGGCAGAGGAAGAUCUAGGAAAACUUUGGAAGAGACCCUAAGAAAAGACUUAGAGUACUUGGAUCUAACGGAGGACAUGACACAGGACAGAACACAAUGGCGUUCUAAGAUUCAUAUAGCCGAUCCCACUCAGUGACUUGGAUUUUCCAAGUCUCCAACCGAGAAGUUUUCCUCACUCGGGAAAUUAAGGGAACACUAUCUCAACCUAUAUGCUCCACUCACAAAGCUUCAACAUACAAGCUUCAACAAAAGAAAAUUCAAAGAACUUAGCGAAGAAGGCUUUGGUGUAUUUAACACAAUACGUUGAAAUGAAGGAAAGCUUAUUUAUUGAUAUCCCCGAUAAGUUACAAAUAUGUACAUAUACUUGAGUCAAAAUAAACAAACAAGAUGGAGCCUUCACAAAGGUUGCUUAGGAGAAGUCUCAGCAGUCGGUAGAGCACCAGAAAGAGAAGGCACCGGAGGGGGAUCAUUCGGAGCCUCAGUAUUGGACAAAACCCUAGAAGGAGGAGGCAUCAGAGAUUGAUCAUUUGGAGCUUCAUUACGCGGUACAAGCCCCCAGAAGACGAAGGCAAUAAAUGCCUUUGGAACAAACCCACAAAUCUCUGAUGAUCAAGUAAAACCUGACCAUCAGAUUCCUUCAUCUGGUCAAGCUUCCUCUUCAUGUUUGUAGCAUAGUCAUGUGCGAGCCGGUGCAACUGUUUAUUCUCAUGCUUGAGCCCUCUAAUCUCCUGUUUGAGACUCAUCACUUCAGCCGCCAAUGAUUCAACUUGGCGGGUUCGAGCAAAUAGGCGUUGGGCCAUAUUAGACACAGAACCUGCACACUGAACAUUGAGAGCCAGAGAAUCCUUAACAGACAACUCAUCAGACCGUUUGGAAAGUAGUCUGUUAUCUUUGGGAGUGAGAAGGUUCCUGGCCACUACCGCAGCGGUCAUAUCAUUCUUCAUCACGGAAUCCCCAACGGUAAGAGGACCAGUAGGGGAGACGAAGGAUGGGCGCCAUAUGUUGUUUGGAAAAGGCGGGGCUGCCUCUUCAACAAGGUUCAAGUCAAAACGACGGUCGGAGGGGCCAGACAUUUUCAAAGGUGUUGAAGAGAGAAGAGGUCGGACAAAUCAAGAUCUUAGAAGUGCAAGAAUGGAGCUUCUACUGGGGGAUAUUCAAGUGUGUUUUGGAACUUAAUGUCAGCCCCUAUAAAAAUCUGCACUCGACGAAGCUUCAGAAAUCGAAGAGGCGCCUGCUCAUAAAUCGAAGAGGCGUUUGCUUUCUCAAAAGCUGGGCUGCUCAGAGAUUCUCAAAAGCUGGGCUGCUCAAAGACCACAAAGGCCGAUCUCAGAAAUCGAAGAGGCUUGCUUUCUCAAAAGCUGGGCUGCUCAGAGACCACGAGGGCCGAUUUCAGAAAUCGAAGAGGCACCUACUUUUCCAGCCUUGUUAGCACCUGUCACACGCACACUCAGCUUUGCGGAAAUUAUGGGCAUUCUGUCGAAGAUUUCUGGCGAAGUAGAAAGCACAUGAAUCGUACUGUUCAAUCACCCACUUCCCACACGCAACAGUAGCUCAUGGGUACCACAGAUAACUUUUCCAAAGUUCUCUGACAAAGUUGAGACACGUGAAGCUUGCAGCUCCCACUACACCGCUCUGACCAAGAAGGGUAAAAGAAUUGCAAAGAAACAACACUAACAAAGUUUAGACACAUAAAUUUUGAAGGUCUAGCUACCAUAUUAUUACCCACAAGGGUAAAGGAACAGUACCACUGCUGGAUAAUUGGAAAGUCUCAGUGUGUCAACCUCUGUGCUUCGUGGCAAGGUAGACUAGCAAACAUGCCCAACCUUUACUCACAUUCGAGAAAACACUCCUAACAAGAUUGCUUGCUCCAAAAUCGAAGAGGCACCGCCCUCCGAAUCUCGAGAGCCAGACUCCCAACAUGAUUACUUUCUCAAAAAUCGAAGAGAAGGUAAAGGAACAGUACCACUGCUGGAUAAUUGGAAAGUCCCUGUGUGUCAACCUUUGUGCUUCAUGGCAAGGUAGACUAGCAAACAUGCCCAACCUUUACUCUCAUUCGAGAAAACACUCCCAACAAGAUUGCUUGCUCCAAAAUCGAAGAGGCACCGUCCUCCGAAUCUCGAGAGCCAGACUCCCAACAUGAUUACUUUCUCAAAAAUCGAAGAGACACCGCUCUCCGAAUCUCUAGAGCCAGACCCCCAGCAGGAUUGUUUUCUCAAAAAUCGAAGAGGCAUCGUUCUCCGAAUCUCGAGAGCCAGACCCCCGACAGGUCUGUAAUCUUCACACGCAACAUCAGCUUUCCAGAUACCACAAACCACUUUUUCAAAGUGCUCUGACAGAGUUAAAACAUGUGAAGCUGGCAGCUCCCACUACCGUGCUAUAACCAAGCAGGGUAAAGGAAUAGCAUUAUUACUUGAUGUUAGGGAGACUCCUAUAUAUGUCGACUUCCAUCCCUAACGGACAGGCAGACCUGCAAAAAUGCUCAACCCUUUCUCUUAUCUGAGAGGGCACUCCCAACAAAGCCUUUCGAAAUAUUCAGCUUUUUUUCCCCCCGAUAAUACCUCUGUAAACAAGCUAUACUAGAGCAAGAAUAUCUCAUAUCAUCAGGGUUAAAAGCAAGAGUAUCCCAUAUCAUGCUUUUUCCCUGUCUUUUCCUUUGGCCUUGUUCUUACCUGCAAGACAAGGAGAAAGAGAGCAAUCAGUCAGCACUUGGAAUCAAGCUUUCAGCCAGGAACUGACUGCCUGGAACCCCUUACCUGAUUACUUACCUGGCAUUGCUCUCGAGUACUCAUCUUCAACAUCUUAUGCUUCCAGGGAAGAUACCACAUUUGCCUGAGGAACAGAUAGGGCAAGUGAGAAGGAUACAAGGAAGCAUGUGGAGACAAGCGUAACAGCACACGUGCCGAUACAUCCACUACUCUAUCAAAAGCAAAAGUAUCUCAUAUCAGCAGGGUCGAACGUACUCUAGAUUUGAUGGACUUGUUUUGACCCUCAAAUUCUUCAGUCGGCCUUAUACUCUGGAGGAAACCAGAAAACCCUCCAGCCCAGUUCAAGAAUAAGCCUGUGGAAAGUUACUUCUUCAAAAGCAAAAGUAUCCCAUAUCAUCUCUCCUCAUUUUUUCUUCUCUUUAUCCUUCAUGCUGCCUGCAAGAUAGGGAGAAUGUGAACAAUCAGCCGGAGCUCUGAUUGCUUACCUUGUCUGUCACCUCUUUCAGCAGAUCCCCCAGCUCGGCGACUUGGGGGACUCCUACUACAUGGUUUGUAUCUCGCUUGACCAAGCAUGAAACUACAAGUAAGCUUCAAGUGAAAUUGAUACAUUACCUUGUGCAUCUCCACCAGUUACAGAUACCACCACUGGAUGGAGGAAGAGUACUUCCAGAGAAGAUGCCACAUCUACCUAUGAGACAGAUAAGGCAAGUCAAGACGAUACCACACUCCGGUACUUAGAAGUUUCGUGGCUACGAGAUCAUUCUCCCACAAUUUUUCCUAAUGUCAUUUGUAUUAAAUCAUUCACUUGUACUCACUAAAGGAGAGCUUGAACCUAUGUACUUGUGUAAACCCUUCACAAUUAAUGAGAACUCCUCUAUUCCGUGGACGUAGCCAAUCUGGGUGAACCACGUACAUCUUGUGUUUGCUUUCCUAUCUCUAUCAAUUUAUAUACUUAUCCACAUUAAUGACCGGAGCAAUCUAGCGAAGAUCACAAAAAGUGACCGUUUUCGCUACCUAGGAUCUAUCUUGCAAGAGAACGGAGAAUUAGAUGGAGAUCUCAACCAUAUAAUACAAGCUGGAUGGAUGAAGUGUAAGAAUGCAUCCGGCGUGUUGUGUGACCGUCGUAGGCCACUGAAGCUCAAGGGAAAAUUUUAUAGGACGGCAAUAAGGCCAGCGAUGUUGUAUGGCACAGAAUGUUGGGCGGUGAAGCAUCAACGUACACAAAAUGGGUGUAGCGGAGAUGAGGAUGCUUCGUGAGAUGUAUGGGCACACGAGAAAGGAUAAGAUUGGGAAUUAGGAUAUCCGAGGUAAAGUAGGAGUAGCCAAAAUUGAAGAAAAUAUGAGAGAAAAUCGGUCCCGGUGGUUUGGACAUGUGCAAAGAAGGCCUACUGACGCUCCGGUUCGAAAAUGUGACUACGGGACAGAGGUUCGGGGCCGAAGGAGUAGAGGAAGACCUAGGAAAACUUUGGAAGAGACCCUAAGAAAAGACUUGAGUACUUGGAUCUAACGGAGGACAUGACACAAAUGAGCGCAAUGGCGUUUUAGGAUUCAUAUAGCCGACCCCACUUAGUGGGAAAAGGCUUUGUUGUUGUUGUUGUUGUAUGGGUCUUAUCUCAAUUGAAUCGAUUAAAUUGAAAUCUGAUGAUCAUCUAAUAUCGAUUUUUAGAUUGAGAAAUAUAGAGCAUCAAUCAGCAGUUGGAGAAGAGAUAAUUUAGUCAAUUCAUCUAAUGAGGUUGCCGACGCAUCUUCAAUACCCGAUGGGGCACCUCAGGUUGCACAAUCUGGCACUACUACUGUUGAAGUCCAAGUUGUCCAAGCCCCUCCACAAGAGGGACUAAAUGAAGGGUUAAUAUAUCAGAACCCUAAUGAGUCCUUAAAGAAGUCAUCAUCUGGAAAAGAAGCCACAGGGCUUAUGUAUAUCUAUGAUUUAUUAGAACGUGGCGAAGAAUGUCCCACAUGCCUGGAAGGUGAUCAUUAAUUUAGCGAAAUCUGUUUCCUUAUGCCAGAAUAUUAGUGGAUUAUAUGUGUUAUUCUUUUAUAAACUGACUUAAGGGUAUAAUUAUCUUAUGCUGAGGGUUCCUCUAUUUCUUGUAAUGACUGCAGAAUACACGACUGAAAAUCCAAAGAUAACAGUGGAGUGUUCUCACCAUUACCACCUUUCUUGUAUUUUUGAAUGGAUGGAGAGAAGCCCAACCUGCCCAAUUUGCAGCCGGGUAAUAUUCAAUUUCUUCCUUGCCUUUUUUAACUUGUAUAUAUGGAUAUAGCAAAUAUCACGUUUUCCGACAGGCACUUUCUGAAUUAGGGUUACUCUUAAGUUAACGUGCAAAUUGAGUUUAGACGCCAAUUUGUUUUCUAGCUGAUGAGGCAAAACUUGCAUAACAUUGGCACCGGCUGUACACAACUUUCUGCGAAUAUCACAUGACUAAAGGCAAGGCUAGUACACAGCUGGUGUAAUGGUAGAAUCUCUUCGCCAAUGACUGAUGACGUGAAGUUCAUCCUGAAAAUUAUUGGCCAAAACAUACCUGAAAUAUUUUGGAUUUUGUAACUUCUCCCAACUAAAUUUAAUCAAAUCGGCAAACUUUGUGUUGCAUCUGAUCGUUGUUAAUUAAAUUGAUUUUCUAGGUGAUGUUAUUUAGUGAAACGUCUUGAGACUCAACGCAAAUUGUUUGGCAUGCAAUGGUCAGUGAAGAGAUACCAAAACCAACAGAAAAGUAGAGCUUUUUCUGGUCACCAAAUCGAAAAGUCUGGUCACCGUUGUGUGCUAGAUUCUUGUAUUUUGAUAUGCUCCUUGAACUAAUUUCAAUUAUUCGAUUCCUUUUUUGCAAUUCUUUCUUCUUGAAAGAGUGAGGCUGCAAGUAUUCUAUAACUUUCCGGCUUAAAGUAUUUGUCCAAUUGAGCAGUGACUUAUUCUAUCAGUUACUGUGUCUCAUUUAUCUCUUUUUAAUUUUUUUCGUUUCUUGUGCAUAGUUACAUUGUAUCUUAAUCAAGUACUAAGCUGUAAACCCUAAUUGAAAAAGAAAAUUCCUCCAAAGUCACCUCAGUUACAGAUACCAAAAUCCUAAUUAAUUUAAUAAUUAAACUAACAUUAUAGAGAAAAAAUACAGUCAAAUAGAGUUUAGCUCACACAUUUACUCAAUAUUUUUCAGGUCUUUGGAAAUAUAAAUAGAAUUACAGGACAGUUUCAAAGUUCAGUUCCUCAUUGCCAUCGUCUGAUAAUCUUCCUUUCAAUAACUUACAUAUGGUACCAAAAUAUGGAUUGCUACAAAAGCAGUACGUUUAGGGUUGGUCCAAAAUUUACCAAGAAACCAGAAAUUUAAUACAG
Molecule: long non-coding RNA, 22301 nt
Filed under: Malus domestica (apple)
Lineage: Eukaryota; Viridiplantae; Streptophyta; Magnoliopsida; Rosales; Rosaceae
Description: long non-coding RNA (MDOM_LNC011812)
Source: RNAcentral